AUUGAACGCUGGCGGCAUGCUUUACACAUGCAAGUCGAACGGUAACAGGCCUUCGGGUGCUGACGAGUGGCGAACGGGUGAGUAAUGCAUCGGAACGUACCCAGAGGUGGGGGAUAACGCAGCGAAAGCUGUGCUAAUACCGCAUGUGAUCUGAGGAUGAAAGCGGGGGACCGAGCAGCAAUGUUUGGCCUCGCGCCUUUGGAGCGGCCGAUGUCGUAUUAGCUAGUUGGGGGGGUAAUGGCCUACCAAGGCGACGAUCCGUAGCUGGUGUGAGAGGACGAUCAGCCACACUGGGACUGGGACACGGCCCAGACUCCUACGGGAGGCAGCAGUGGGGAAUUUUGGACAAUGGGCGCAAGCCUGAUCCAGCAAGGCCGCGUGCGGGAAGAAGGCCUUCGGGUUGUAAACCGCUUUUGGCAGGAACGAAACGGUGUCCGCUAAUACCGAGCGCUAAUGACGGUACCUGCAGAAUAAGCACCGGCUAACUACGUG
This 492-nucleotide ribosomal RNA is filed under the name uncultured bacterium. Its description in RNAcentral is "partial 16S ribosomal RNA". It matches the Rfam family "Bacterial small subunit ribosomal RNA", at positions 29 to 507 of the family's 1533-position model. The record is from RNAcentral.